RNAcentral lists this ribosomal RNA (321 nucleotides) under uncultured Spirochaetota bacterium. RNAcentral describes it as "bacterial SSU rRNA". It matches the Rfam family "Bacterial small subunit ribosomal RNA", at positions 28 to 351 of the family's 1533-position model. The record is from RNAcentral. Lineage: Bacteria; Pseudomonadati; Spirochaetota.
GACGAACGCUGGCGGCGUGGAUUAGGCAUGCAAGUCGAACGGUAGGAUUCCUUCGGGGAUCUGAGAGUGGCGAACGGGUGAGUAACACGUAGGUAAUCUACCCUCAAAUCGGGGACAACCCAGGGAAACUUGGGCUAAUACCGGAUGGGUGCGCUUUCGGGUGCAUAAAAGGUGGCGUAAGCUGCCGUUUGGGGAUGAGCCUGCGCUCUAUUAGUUAGUUGGUGAGGUAACGGCUUACCAAGGCGAUGAUAGAUAGGCGGCCUUAACGGGUGGUCGCCCACACUGGGAUUGAGAUACGGCCCAGACUCCUACGGGUGGCUG